This 324-nucleotide unclassified non-coding RNA is filed under the name Mycoplasma zalophidermidis. RNAcentral's name for it is "16S-23S ribosomal RNA intergenic spacer". Lineage: Bacteria; Bacillati; Mycoplasmatota; Mollicutes; Mycoplasmatales; Mycoplasmataceae. The record is from RNAcentral.
CUACGGAGUACAAUGUCAAAAAUACUUUUGACGAACUAACCUUAAUCAGACCUAUUUACACAAACAUUUUUUGUCAUGGCUUGUUAGGUCGCAAGCAUAUAUCUAGUUUUGAGAGGACAAUCUCUCAAAAUUGUUCUUUGAAAACUGAAUAGUAAAUAUUUUAAAAUAUUACAACGACAUCAAAAAUAUAAAUUAUAUCAAUUUUGGUUAAUUUGUUUUGAUUCAUCGAGUAGUCAUAAAUAUAUUAUGACUCAUUGAAAUGUCUUAAAAUACACAUCAAUAACAACAAUAGGAAAAUCCUAAUUUUAAUUAAUUAGGAACAUA